This 301-nucleotide ribosomal RNA is filed under the name uncultured bacterium. Its description in RNAcentral is "partial 16S ribosomal RNA". It matches the Rfam family "Bacterial small subunit ribosomal RNA", at positions 509 to 807 of the family's 1533-position model. The record is from RNAcentral.
CAGUCGCCACGGUAAUACGAAGGUCCCAAGCGUUGUUCGGAAUCACUGGGCGUAAAGGGAGCGUAGGCGGCGUGGUAAGUCAGAUGUGAAAUCCCGGGGCUCAACCCCGGAACUGCAUCCGAUACUGCCAUGCUUGAGGGUUGGAGAGGUAGCUGGAAUUCUUGGUGUAGCAGUGAAAUGCGUGGAUAUCAAGAGGAACACUCGUGGCGAAGGCGAGCUACUGGACAACAUCUGACGCUGAGGCUCGAAGGCCAGGGUAGCGAAAGGGAUUAGAUACCCGCGUAGUCCCUGUCUCUUAUAC